UAAAAGCCAAGCUCGAUAAGUUGCACAACAUAAUUUCCAUAGCUAAACCAAGUUUGUUUAAUUUGAAUGGCAAGACCUAAAAGGUAUAAUAUAAAGGAAUUACAAGACAGAACAUUAAAAGACUUUUUUCUUCCUCAGGUGGAGAGUACUGUAUUUUUUUUAUACCUUUCUUUUUCCCCUCUCCCACAACGUUAUUAAAUUCCUUAAAAGAACAGACCAUCUUUGUUCCUAUGCUGCAAUCUCAAGAUCUAUGAAUAAAGCAGGCACCCAGUAAAUACUUGCUAAUUUGUGUAAUUGACCAACUCUUGACAAUUCAAUAUAACAGACUCAAAUAUCAAGUUAGUUAGAGUUUAAAACAAAACCUUUGUGUGCCCUAGUGAACGAUGUAAACACGAACAGCAGAAUCCAAAAUCUUCUAAUCAUUUGUGUUGCCCUAAAUACAAAACGGUCUCAUAGGCCGAAUACAGCUCAUAAACCAACAUCUCACGUGAGUUACCUUCUCUCUAUCCACCUUCUAAGUCAAUAAAUAAAAUAUUGAAAACAUUCUGAAAAGAACCCUCUGCUGCCUGAGAAAAAAUACACCACACAUUUAGAGCCAAAAGGUUGCCUUAAGGGGGCAAAGAGUGAAAAAUUCUCCUUUCUAAUACUUUAUCAGAAUUCCAAGAACUACGCAAAUUCAAACACGUCAAAGCUCCUGUUUCUCCAUCGAUAAAAUGCAGAAAGAAAAACGUGCGUGCGUGUGUGUGUGUGUAACAGAACCUCACCUAAUGGGAUAAUUAACAUCAGAAAAAGCUAAAUUCUACUACUGAUUAAAAGUUGGCUUGUCAUUUGUCUUGCCAGUUGAUCGCUCUAGAGUACCUAUCAAUUGCUGCAGUCCGUAAAGGGCAGUUCCUUCCCAUUGGUUACCACAGAAAGUUCUUUCCUGACCCCAAAUUGCCUAGUGCGUUUCAGUCACGAUGCCUGGAUGGAACCCACAGUUGACCAAUAUCUGGGGAUUGAAAGGACAGGCCGGUGUUGGGGAAAUGCUCACUACCCUCUGGAUUCAACUGUCCUCCCAAUCCCACAACCAACACAGAGCAUUUCAAAAGUGCUUCGCAUUCCCAAGAAUCCCCCAGAUGCAAAUGGAGAAACUGAAAAGAAGGUGAACAGAGGCAGCCCCACUUCCGGACCCUACCUCUCCGUGACUGUACUUCCGGUCUCCUCCGAAACGCCCGCUUUCACAGAUCAAGUUCUUGCAACCAAUGAGAGCAUCAGCUACUUCCGCCGGUCUGCGGGGCGUGGUCUAAAUCCCGCCUUUUCCGGUGGAGGGGAGCCUAUCCUAGCGUCCUAAUCGCCCGGCUCAGUAGGCGGUGCCGUGACAAGCCCAACCGGACGGCUGGAGAGGGCGAAAAGGGCAGACGGGGCGUGCAGCCUCUUCCGCCUGCGGCCCGGAAGGGUGAUGUGGCUGCGGUAUCGCCGGCCUCGCUAUGAUUGUUGGGUAUAUUUUGGAAAUGUGCCAGAAUUGGUGAACGGAAGAGUCCUUAUGUAGCAGUAUGCUGUAUAGUAAUGGCCUUCAGCAUCCUCUUCAUACAGUAGCUGGGGAAAAUGCCAGAAUUUAAUUGCCAUCAGAUUUCAUUGUGAACAAGGACUUACUGCAGAAAAUAAUGGAAAGGAUGGUUAACCCUUUUAUCUCUGAACAUUGAAUGAGAUAAAUUUCCAGAUGCUGUUCUCUAUUUUUAUGUUAUUGGACCAAUGUUCUAUAUAAUAAUUAAGAUGUAACCAUUUAAUAGUCUGUAACAAUCAACCUCAGUAUUGUCACUACAAUAUUACAUUCUGCAAAUGUUAUUCUGUUGUAUCAGAUACCAAAUUUUAGUGAGGUAUCUCCAAGGCACAUAGGAGAAAACAAAAUUGGUUAAUUACUCAAGUUCCUUUCACUGUGAUUUGGAAAUGAUUUAAUCUUUAUAGAACGAGACCCUUUUUUGGACUAGCUUUUUUAUUAAAAUGGCUCAAUUUGUGUUGAUAAGGAUUGCAGUCAUGUUUAAUAGCGCUUGCUUUUCCUCUGGGCACACCAUUUUGAUCAUUAACCAGAGUACCUCUACUCUUAGCAAACUCUAGUUUAUGACAAGUAUUUAAAAUAUUUAAAACAAGCUUAUAAGUUCUUAAGGAGCAAGGUAAAUGAGAUGUAACUUAAAAAUAGUAUUGGAAAAAUGUUGAUAUUUAACAUUAGUGGAUUUAGACUAGACAUGGCAUAGUAGGCUCUGAAACCUCUUGUCAAGUAUACAUAAGUGUUUUGUGCAUGAAUUUUUACCAGAAAGCUGUCUUUCUCUGAAAAACACAACAUUCUUAGAAUGAAAAGAACAGUUGUAAUUAUCUUAUAUAUGUUUUUCAUUAUUUUUAGUGUCACGGCUUCAAAAAUGAAACAUUUUAAUUGCCCUAAAGAAACUGUAUUUUUGUUUUGUUUUUUAAUAUAGCACUUUAAAUCCAGUUUGUGUUUUGUCAACUUGAGCUGAAAUCUUUUUUGUUACUUUGAAGGUGAUAAAUAGUUUUCAAAUCUACUGAUUUGUGUACUGUGGCAUAAGUAUCUUUGAAUUUGGGUGGUGAAAGGAGACCUUCAACAAUUUUUAGUCUAGGCAAGAGAAUUAUUGGGAAUGUGACUUCUAAAUUUUACAAUAGAGCAGUUAUUUUAAGGUCAUGGUUAACAUUUCUUAAGGUUCAACUGAAAUUCAGUUAAAAUUUCAGAGCUAAGAGGAACUUAAAUCUUAGCUAAAAAUUACCUGUUGUAGAAGUAUUAAUUAGAUUGUUUGCAGCUAUUAAUUCAUCAUAAAGGUAAAAUGAAGAAACUCCCUUUUUGAAGAAAAGAAAAUUAUUUCUAAUUUAAUAGGCUAGUAGUUAUUUCUGCAGAAACAAAGUAUGGAACUGAAAGCCACCUAUUUUUAUUUUAAACUAAACCACUUGGAAUGGAUUCUAGGUAACAUCUUAAGCUUGUGUGUUGCCUGUGGUGGUUUUUUUGUUUGGGGGUGUUUUUUGGUUUUUGUAUGAUUUUCUGUAUUUUGUUAUCUGACGAUUUUUUGUUUGGUUUGGUUUUGGAUUUUUUUUUUUUUUUUUUUUUUUUGGCAAUAGAGCUGUUACGCGUUAUCGCUGUAUUUUAUAUUUUUGGCAUGUCUGUGCAGUUAAAAGUGGUAUAUUUUGCUUUAGACAGGGAAUCAGGUUAUAAUCAUUGUUCUUCCUCUCAAGUGCCUCUUGGGCUUUACAUCAGGUCAAGGAUUUUCAGGGUUUCUCAAAAAUAGGAUUCUUGUCAGUGUCUCCAUGCUGAGUAAGUAACCUUUCUGACUCUAAUUUCUGGGUGGCCAUCUGUUGUCCAGCUCUGCUGCCAACUGGACUUUCCGAAAGCCAUGUCAACUAAUUUUUUAUAUGCUAAGACAAAUCGAAUAUGAAAAGAGGAAGAAUAUUGUAGAUAUUCUAAGACAUUUCUUAAUUUGGCAUCUCAGAGGAGGUAAGUGGAAAGUAAAGGAAGAGAUAAUUUUGGGGGAAAAUUUGUGGAAACAUACAAAACUUUUUGCUAUGUAUAGACGCUAAACAGUGGGAGGCAAUGUUUUUGUAACAACAAACAUUCUGACCUUUUGAAACACAAGCUCUUGGAGAAGUCAGGGAGAGACACAGUAUGAAUAAAAGCAAUUAACAUGUUCUUUAAUGUAUUUUUUUCAAAGAAGACCGCUGAAUCCUGUUCUCUAAUCCAAAGGGCAGUGUAGGCGGUUUUAAGCCCACAGAAUAUUGAGAUAUUUCUCGUGUGAUUUUAGUGGGGUGGUGGGAUGCAGAAGGUUAUUUAAGAUCAACUUAAGCAUCAGAUAGAAUAUCUCUUUUAUUUUUUUAACUCUUAUUUUAGGUUCAGGGGUACAUGUGCAGGUUGUUAUAUAGGUAAACUCAUCUCAUGUCAAGGGGUUUUGUUGUACAGAUUGUUUUGUCACCUAGGUGCUAAGCCUAGUACCCAGUAGUUAUUUUUCCUGCUCUUCUCCCUCCUCCCAACCUCCACCCUCAAGUAGGCCCCAGUGUUUGUUGUUCCCUUCUUUGUGUCCUUGAGUUCUCAUCAUUUAGCUCCUACUUCUAAGUGAGAACGUAUAGUAUUUGGUUUUCUGUUCUGUGUUAGUUUGCUAAGGAUAAUGGCCUCCAGGUCAGAUGGAAUAUCUAUCACAUAGACCUGUUGUUACAGGGUAGGAUCGGAUGAUGGACACUGAAGUACUCAGCGUGCUAAGUUCAGUUGCUCUCCCUAGCCUCCUUUUGGCUUCAGAGUCUUUUGAUUCCAUCUGUCCUGGCAUUUUUUGUGUGCUGAUGUUUAGUUCCUGAUUGGCUUUAGCUGUACUAAUAGGAAGGGAGUUGUCUUUUCAAGCAGUCUUAAAAGGUGGUCAGUCAAAAGGCCAGAGUCUGAAUCCCUUCUAUGGCUUAAAUAAUUUGAGGAUCAAGUCCAGUAUCUUGUUAAUGCCCUGUUCUACUGUGCCAGGCACUAUCUUGAAUGCUCUUAUAUGUUCAAAUUCAAAAUAGCUCUUUCAUACCGGGGGAUGAUAGUAACAUGUGACUUGCAAUAGAUUCCUUCAUCUUAGUAAUAAGAUGAUCAGUCUAGUUAGGACAAAAUAGAGAUUUGAAUAAAUUAACUUUUCCAAGUUCACAGAGUAAAAAUGAGCAGAUCUCUGCCUGGUUUUGUGAAAAAGACUUAGCACUGGUAAAUAGAAUAUUUCUGUUCCUACACCAUUCUUUCAGUAUAUCAUCACUGAAGACAGGAAGAUAGGCACACAGAUUUUUCCCAUAGUAAUUCGUAGUGCACUAGGUGAAAGAGAUGAAGUAUGUAUUGAAAGUACAAUGUGAUGGCAUUUAUUAUUCAGAUAAUCCCAGGAUUCUAGAAGAAAACAAAGAAGAGUGACAAUUCAGUUAGGGUGUGAACUUCCAGAGGAGCAUUGCUUAAGCUGAACUUGAGAGCAUUGUGCAAAAGCACAGUAACCUGUUAAGAACUAGAAAUAACCUAGCUUGUGCCACUUUGGGAGUAUUAAGACGUAAGCCUAGAAAGGUGGACAUAGGUUAGAUCUUAGACUGUCUUGUAUUUUUCUCCUUCCUAUUGAUGACCUACCUCAAAACUGACUAUGUUUUUCCUCCUGCCUAACACAAAACUACUUAAGGGCAAAAAUUUAAAUUCUUCCUUGGUGUGUGUGCAAACAAGGUUGAAUAUAUUCAUGCCUACCUUAUUUUGGACUAGGAAUACAGUAGUAUACUUUCCAAAGACUUGUCUGAACAGUAUAUAAGGUGGAGGCAACUGACUGCUUAGGUCAGUAUUUUUAGAAACUCUUAAUAGCUCAUACUCUUGAUGCCAAAAGCAGCCCUGAUUGUUAAAGCACACACCUGCACAAGAAGCAGUGAUGGUUGCAUUUACAAUUCCUGGGUGCACAAAUAAAAAUUCCCAAAAAGCAAGGACUUACGCUUUUGGCAAAACCUUUGAGAAGUUACUGGAUCAUAGGAAGCUUAUAACAAGAAUGGAAGAUUCUUAAAUAACUCACUUUCUUUGGUAUCCAGUAAUAGUAGAUGUUCAAAAUAUGUAGCUGAUUAAUACCAGCAUUGUGAACACUGCCCAACCUUGUGAUUAUUACUAAGCAAGUUACUACUAGCUUCUGAAAAGUAGCUUCAUAAUUAAAGUUAUUUAUACACUGCCUUCCAUGACCUUUACUUUGCCCUGAGCUAAUCCCCAAAAUCUGAAAUGCUACUCCAAUAUCAGAAAAAAAAGGGGGAGGUGGAAAUAUAUUUCCUGUGAUUUUAAGAGUACAGAGAAUCAUACACAUCUCUGGUUAGUUCAUAUAUGUCUAGUGUGUAAUAAAAGUCAAGAUGAACUCUCAAGAGCCUCCUAUUUUUGUCUUAUUGUCAGAUGUGUGAAAGCAGUUUUUAGAGGUUAAAAAAUGGAAAUUUCCACCUUUUUAGUAGAAUAAGAAUAGAGAAAUGUUCUUUUUUUUUUUUUUUUUUUUUCCUCCCUACCUGCAUUUUCAUUCAUGGAUGGCCAAGAUUAGUUUUGGGGUAUUAUUUUUAUUGUUGUUUUACAUCAUACUAGCUAUGCAAUCUAUUAUAUUGCUGUUAUUAUUCAGUAUCCUUUUAAGAGCCUUUAAUGACUCCUGUAGUUUGCUUUGGGUGUGAAGUCUUUAAUUUUCCCAGAGAUGGUGGAAAUCAGAUUCUGAAUGAAAUUGACAGUUAUCAAUUACUGACAGUUAUUUUCAACCUUGUCCUUAACUGGGAGCCUUCAGAUGCCCAAACAUUCUGGCAAGUAGCUAUUAUUUUCUGUCUAAAAUCUGUUUGUGAGCAUUGUCCAUCAGAGUCAGAUUGUUCAGCCAAUUUAUACUAUUAUUAGUAUUUACUGAGAAAUAUGAAAAGGCUUAUGUCUUGCUUUGAGGAAUGUGGUCUUCUUGCCGUUAGCUUCCCAAAACUGAGUAAACACAGACAAACCUUUGUCAGACCUGUUACUAGAAGGAAUUUACCUAACCAAAUGAAUUGUAACAAUUGUAUUUUUAGUUAGAUUUAGAUCUAAAAAAAUACUUCAGAUACAAAUUGAAAGGCAGUAUCUAAGUUGUUUCCUGCAAUAUAUAUUGUAAACGUUCCCCUCUGCUCCAUUAUACCACCAGUUGAUAAAAGACAUUAUAAGAAAAUCACUAAAUUUCCAAUUUCUAUUAAUAACAAAAAGAAUUCAAAAUGGCUUUGCUUAAGAUCACCGAAUUUAAUAUAACCAGGAAAGCAAAAUCUGUUUUUAAUUCAGAGGGUUUACAUUAAUGUCCUUACCCAUAACAGAUUCAUCUCGGGGUGGAAGGGAGGGCAAGGGCAAGGGAGAGAACAUAAAUACUGGAAACAAGAGUAAGUUACUUCACACUUUGUGGAGGAUGAGAACACUCAUUCAGAAACUGCGUAAUACCCAGACACUACUGUUUGAGCUUUGAUGAGGGAAGUAGCCUAAAAGCAAAUGUGUAGGGAUGUCGGGUUUGUUCCCAAAGUGCUAAAACCUGUAAUUUAUCAGCCACCUCAACUUCUUUGAUUACUAUAGCUAGGCUAAAUACUGAAAAAAAAUUAAAAAGAAAUGAGGAAACAGACAUGAGGGAUUUCAAGAAGGCCAGCAUCAAAGAAAGAAUCUUUGCAGUAACGAAGUUUUAAAAGUGAUCUGGAGGCUCAGGAUAAUACCAAAAGGUUUGACCUUAGAAAUUAAGUUACAGAGAAUAGAGUACAACUCUUUCGGGUUCUGAAAGAGUAGAAGAUCAUAUUUCUCUUGAUUUUAUUUGAUAGAAAUAGUUUGCUUGCUUUUUAAAAAGUGUUUCUGAAGAUGACAAGCAUCUUCAAAGAAGCUUUAUUGAAUCUGUUAACAUGUAACAAAGAAAUUUCACAUAGACAACUUAGUGAAUCCCUAGGCACUUAGUUUGACCUGCCAUGAAGAACAGAAAUCAGGCUAGAACACAGGAUAAUCCUUACCCCCUUCGCACCCCCAAAGAAUAGAAAAUUAAUCCCUCUGUCAUUCCAAACCCACAAAGUAGAGGCCUCCAUAUCUCCCAUUUCAUCCCUACAUGAAUCCUUUGAGAACAGGCUGUGUGCCAGACAGUGCUAGGACAGGAUAUACAAUGUGGAAUAAGACAAAUACAGCUAUUGCUGUCAUGGAACCUAGAAUCUAGUAAAGAUCAACUAACCAAAUAGCUAAUUAGAUGAGUAUACACAACCUCUAGAACCCUGAAGGAAACACCUGAAGGACGGUUUAGAUGGCGUGGUAAGGUGGUAAGGGAAUGCCAGUCCAUGAAGUUGAUGGUUAGGCUAAGACCUUACUGCAGAUGAAGAGCAUGAACAAAGAGGCAGAGACAGGAAAGAGCUUGGGACUUGAAGGGGUGGAGAAAUUCAUGGAAAACUAGCAUGAAGAAUGCUAUUUAAUGUUACUGAGUGAGGCAAAGAAUGGAGUAAGUUGGAAAGAAAAAAUAGGCCAAAUCAUACAGGGCGUUUGAACCAUAGAGAAGGCUGGGCAACUCGUCCAAAGGAUUUGACUUUACACAAUUAAAGGAGCUAGUAGAGUAGCCUCUGUAAGGCUGUUGUCUUUGUUUCUAAAGUUGGACGUGAAAUCCACGGGGCAGGUAAUCGGGAAGGGAAGGGAAGGGUAGAAACUGUGUCAGUUCUUGUCAUUGACCUUGGUACUGUGGAUGUCUUGCAGAAAGAAGUUAGUGCCGUUCUUGAACCUAUGCAUGGCCAGGAAGUCAGAGAGGCUGAUGGAUGAUCCAGGGGAAGAUAGAGCAGUUAUAGGCCCACCUGCUGCCUCACAGUAACAAGGUUUUCAGCACAUCUGUGACAUCACAAUCGAGCUACCAAAUGACUACUACUUUACCUCUGUUGAACAAAUUUCACCCAAGACUCCGUCCUGUCUUCCAUACUAACCAGAACCUUACAGGGAAGACAGUCCUAGGAAAUGAGCAGCCUAACCAAGUUGACACGUUACAAAGUCAUCAUGCUCUCUUAAGACCCUUCAACCUGGAUCUCUUGCCAGCAACUCAAUAUAUCCCGAACAGAAUUUUUCUAAACCUGCUUCUUCUGGGUCACCCUAUUUUUUUUUUUAAACAAUGCUACUUUCCUUCUGUGCUUAGAAUUUUCUAAUCUUGUUAACUCCCCCUUUUCCUUUCUCAUAUACCUCUCAUGCCACCACCAAUCUAUAACAGUUCUAUCAUUUUUACCUCUGCAGUGCCCACCCCAGGUGGAUGAGUUCAAACUCAACAGGUGAUUAUACAAUCCCACACAUUGAUUUCAUAUUUAGUUUGAUAUAAGCCCCCCUUCUGGAACCCCCAAAGAAGGUAAAGGCCACUUUCCUCUCCAAAAGCACGUACAGGGGAGUGAGUUAUAGCAAGGAGCUAGUAUGCUGCUAUCAUUAUUUAAACCAAGAAAAACCCACUGUAGACAAGAUGAAGGAUCUAAUAAAAAUGUGUUCUUAUUUCUGAUUCUAAAACUUUUAACAGCUGGGCUUUCCCAUGUGGAAUAAUGUUACAUAAAUAACUCAACCAGGGAACAGAGGGGCUGUGAAGAAGUCCAACAAAAUGAUAGAUGAUCUUGGACACUCUGAAUAUCACACCCAAUGGAGUUACAAGGAAAUAAGUGCAUUGGAAGGACAAUAAUGGCAAGCAUAUCUACAUUCGCUUCACGUACCUUAUAAAAAUCCUGGAGAAUCUGGCAUUUAUUACACGACUCAAUUAUGUACACUUUGAGGCUCAUGAAAGCCUGAAGAAUAUUCAAGAGCCAGACAAAAAACAACUAGUAAAAAAUGUUUAUACUCCUCUUCACAACUCAGUAAGAAAAUCUGUACAAACUGCUUCAAAAGGAAGAGUUGUAGGACCUUUGAUUGACAUCCUAAAAAGAACUGUGUAAGGAUAUGCCAGCACUUGAAUCUGAAGACAAUGGAAAAUAGAAAUCUAAUUGGAAUAAACUGGUCAGAUGUGGAGGACAUGCUGCCAUAUAAAUACAAGCAAAACAAAUUAGGAUGAUCCAUAGAAAGCAAGUCAGGGUUCUUGGAAAAAAAUAUUGAAAAUGGAGGAUCUGAUGCCAUCAAAAGUCACAAGAACUGUCUGGAAAUGUAAGGAAUUUUAAGCGAGGGAUUAGUUGUUUUACAAAAUUCAUUAAAAUAUGCACCAACCAUUCUUCAUCUCUUUAUGAACAAAGCUGGAAAUAUGAGACAAAGAAAGAUGAAAACAAGAGGGAGAAAAUGUUCUAUCUUACUUCAACAGGCUCUGUUUUAUUGCAGUGCCAACAUUUUUGAUCCACUGCAACAAACCAGAGAAGACUUAACCAGAAUGACAAGGGUAUUAUAAACUAGAAACUAGAGGUGUUUCACCUGAAAAUUGGGAGAUUUUGAGGUAACUUGAACAUAAUCUUCAAUAGAAAGCUAAUUCACUCACAAUAUACAUAUUUUUGAAUACUCAAUAAAACAUAUAUAUCCUUCUGAAUGGAAAAAGUACAAGGUGACAGGGAAAAAUACAGUUCCUCUCUUCCCAUGUCCUCCAGCCUCCCAGCUACCUUUCCCAGGGGCAAUCACAAUGAU
Cercocebus atys (sooty mangabey) is the source of this 10048-nucleotide long non-coding RNA. RefSeq lists it as uncharacterized. The record is from RefSeq and is a predicted model, not a curated record. The transcript is spliced from 9 exons. Lineage: Eukaryota; Metazoa; Chordata; Mammalia; Primates; Cercopithecidae.